RNAcentral lists this ribosomal RNA (310 nucleotides) under uncultured eukaryote. RNAcentral describes it as "partial 18S ribosomal RNA". It matches the Rfam family "Eukaryotic small subunit ribosomal RNA", at positions 1470 to 1796 of the family's 1831-position model. The record is from RNAcentral.
CCCUUAGAUGUUCUGGGCGGUCCGCGCACUACAAUGGCGCUUUCAGCGAGUUCCUAUGUUGAAUUUUCCUGGGUAUUCUUGGAAGCGGCGUCUUGACUUGGGAUAGAUCCUUGUAAUUGUUGGUUUUGAACGAGGAAUUCCUUGUAAUCGCGGUUGAUCAGCUCGCGUUGAAUACGUCCCUGCCCUUUGUACACACCGCCCGUCGCUCCUACCGAUGAAUCGUCCGGUGAAGUUCACAGAGUGGCGGUUCGUGGAGUUGCUCGCGAAGUGAAAUGGACCUCACGAUUUAGAGGAAGGAGAAGUCGUAACA